UCGGGAAUUUUGGGCAAUGGGCGAAAGCCUGACCCAGCAACGCCGCGUGAAGGAUGAAGUAUUUCGGUAUGUAAACUUCGAAAGAAUAGGAAGAAUAAAUGACGGUACUAUUUAUAAGGUCCGGCUAACUACGUGCCAGCAGCCGCGGUAAUACGUAGGGACCAAGCGUUGUUCGGAUUUACUGGGCGUAAAGGGCGCGUAGGUGGCUUGACAAGUCACUUGUGAAAUCUCUGGGCUUAACCCAGAACGGCCAAGUGAAACUGUCAUGCUAGAGUGCAGAAGGGGCAAUCGGAAUUCUUGGUGUAGCGGUGAAAUGCGUAGAUAUCAAGAGGAACACCUGAGGUGAAGACGGGUUGCUGGGCUGACACUGACGCUGAGGCGCGAAAGCCAGGGGAGCAAACGGGAUUAGAUACCCGGGUAGUCCCUGAGCGGGCUGGCAAGGCGCAU
This 447-nucleotide ribosomal RNA is filed under the name uncultured bacterium. RNAcentral's name for it is "bacterial SSU rRNA". It matches the Rfam family "Bacterial small subunit ribosomal RNA", at positions 355 to 825 of the family's 1533-position model. The record is from RNAcentral.